Molecule: ribosomal RNA, 823 nt
Filed under: uncultured bacterium
Lineage: Bacteria
Description: bacterial SSU rRNA
Rfam family: Bacterial small subunit ribosomal RNA
Source: RNAcentral
AGAGUUUGAUCCUGGCUCAGGAUGAACGCUAGCGACAGGCUUAACACAUGCAAGUCGAGGGGCAGCGGGGGCGGAAGCUUGCUUUCGCCCGCCGGCGACCGGCGCACGGGUGAGUAACACGUAUGCAACCUGGCCGCCACAGGGGGAUAACCCGCGGAAACGCGGCCUAAUACCCCGUGACGCCACCGGAGGGCAUCCUCCGGUGGCCAAAGGAGCGAUCCGGUGGCGGAUGGGCACGCGGCGCAUUAGCUAGACGGCGGGGUGACGGCCCACCGUGGCGACGAUGCGUAGGGGUUCUGAGAGGAAGGCCCCCCACACUGGGUCUGAGACACGGCCCAGACUCCUACGGGAGGCAGCAGUGAGGAAUAUUGGUCAAUGGGCGGAAGCCUGAACCAGCCAAGUCGCGUGAGGGAUUAAGGCCCUGCGGGUCGUAAACCUCUUUUGCCGGGGAGCAGUGGUCCGGACGCGUCCGGACCGGGAGAGUACCCGGAGAAAAAGCAUCGGCUAACUCCGUGCCAGCAGCCGCGGUAAUACGGAGGAUGCGAGCGUUAUCCGGAUUUAUUGGGUUUAAAGGGUGCGUAGGCGGGCAUUUAAGCCGGCGGUCAAAUGUCGGGGCUCAACCCCGGGCCUGCCGUCGGAACUGGGUGCCUUGAGUGGGCGAGAAGUAUGCGGAAUGCGUGGUGUAGCGGUGAAAUGCAUAGAUAUCACGCAGAACCCCGAUUGCGAAGGCAGCAUACCGGCGCCCUACUGACGCUGAGGCACGAAAGUGCGGGUAUCGAACAGGAUUAGAUACCCUGGUAGUCCGCACAGUAAACGAUGGAUG